GUGUUCUAUAUCUAACAAAUGAAGCAAAUGUUUCAGAUUAUACCUACAGUAGAAUAAGUAGUGGCAACAUUUGGGUUUUUGAUGAUUUUUGAUGAUAAGUUCACACAUUCCUUUUCAUCCUUGCAGCAGUAGUUAUGCAUGCAAGAUGGUUUCUUACAAUCUCAGUGGGAUCCUUCCAUGUAUGGACCCCAUGAGUAAGGUUUGGAGUGAAUCAGUCUGAACAUAUUCCAUCUUAUAAUGGUCUUUCCAUUUUUGUUUUCAGAACUGGUCCUAACCCUUUUAAUUUUAUGAGCUGGCAUUAUCUUUAGGGAAAGCCUUUCAAGAUGAGUGAGCCAGUUUGUUUGGAAAGAGAUGAAACCCAAUUUUCCUGCGCCUGUGAAUUAGGUGUGAAGAAAAUGCAGCCACUGAAUAUAAUGUUACUUAUAUUGUCAUAAAAACAUUUGCUGCUGUCAAUGAAUUCUGCAUGGAACAGGAAAGGGGAAAAAAAAGAUAUAUCACCCCAUCUGUUUUAGCUAUAUCAUCAGGCAACUGAAAUCUAUUCCCUAAUCCCUGGCCAGCACAGCCAAUUCUAGAGCUGGCUGUGAAUUAUGGCAUACAUCUAGAGGCCACCAAGUGAGGAAGAUGCCUGUCCAUGGAGAUGAUUCAUAGGAGAUUGAAAAUAUCUACACAUUCUCAGAAGCCUCUGAGUAAAGAACUGAAGGAAGAUACUCUGCAUUUGACAUCUGCCCACAUGCUGCAAGGAGCUAAGUUGACUGGCCAUUAUUACCUUCUGAUAUCAUGUAAGUGCG
Candoia aspera is the source of this 788-nucleotide long non-coding RNA. RefSeq lists it as uncharacterized. The transcript is spliced from 5 exons. The record is from RefSeq and is a predicted model, not a curated record. Lineage: Eukaryota; Metazoa; Chordata; Lepidosauria; Squamata; Candoiidae.